GCUCAGAUGUCAUAAAAGAUGUUACGCCCAAAACACCCACAUGAAUGUUUAGGAAAUAUAAGCAUAAACAUUUUGAACAGUGCGCCCAGUGUUUAAUCACAAAAUCCCGCCUGGACACGUCUUAAAUGUUUUUAAACUUUGCAUCUCUGACCAGACGUUUCAGAUAGCCAAGAUCGGGUCCAAUUUGUUUAAGUAAAACACAUUUCCAUCAUGGUCCCUGAUGUCUGCAAGACCGGAGAGACCAGAUUUUGUGUUUUAUUAGCAUGGGCUUAAAUGACCCGUGUAGGGUUACGCUGGGUUUUUUUGUAGGCCUAGGCUACAUAAAAAGGUGUAGCCUACUUCCUCAUACAUCACAGAGAGGAGCAUUCUAUACAUCUUGUGUCAGGGUCGUCGAAGUUAUGACUCAAGGGAAAAUGAUCCAUGUACUGCUUUUGGUGGGACUCUUUUGUUACUCUGCUGGUCAGAGCACUCCAGCUUCAACAACUUGGCCUACCACCGCUACUGCUUCGACGAAUGUGUCUCCUACACCUGAGACAGGUCUCCCAAUAGUUGUGGCACUGAGAGUCGUUAUCCAGUCACAUGAGGCUCUGAAUGCAACAACUGUACAAACCUCUUUGGGCAAGAUUGCAUCCCUACUCUCACUGGGCUCAGAUGUCCAAAUAUCAGUGAGGAGCAUUCAGCUUGUCUAGUUUUCCACAUCCUACUACACUACAUGUGCUGUUGCUUAACACAAGACAUGAUUAUGUCAUCCAAGGGGGACAUUGUUUUCAUACCCUUCACAAAUAGGUAGCUCUGUCAUCAUUGUGUAGAGAGAACCCUUUUUUCCUAUUUGAGAAAAUAGUACAGUGUUGCUGAUUAUAGUGCCUAUACUGUCUAUAUUGUUGUUGGAAUAUUGAAAAUAAUAAAGCUUUGCCUAUUGGCAAAACAAGUUAUUCUGGUGUUGUUUAAAGGAGAAGUAUGACAUUUAUUAAAUUUAGACUUAUCUAUAAUGGGGU
This is a long non-coding RNA of Alosa alosa (allis shad), 995 nucleotides long. RefSeq lists it as uncharacterized. The record is from RefSeq and is a predicted model, not a curated record. NCBI's taxonomy places the organism in Eukaryota, Metazoa, Chordata, Actinopteri, Clupeiformes, Clupeidae. The transcript has 4 exons.